CAUGUGUCAUGGUUACUGGAAGUUUAACACCUGUAUCACAAACCACAUCACCGAUGGAACCCAACACUUGUAUUAGAAACAACAAUUAUCACUUCACUUCCUCACUCUGCUUGUAACUGCAAACAAAAUGAAAAAGAAACUGUGGACAGGGAAAAGGAACAGCAAGCUUUGGGAAGAGAAGGAACAAAACGGAUACGCUAUGCUUGAAGUUUUCAUCUCCAGAAGAGCCGUUGCGGUUCUUGUGGAUCCCCUGCAGCUCGUAUCAGAAGUAUAACUGGAGUAAGAAGGCUACUCCGAGGAAGACCACAGGAACAGGAAGGAUGAGGUAUCUGAAGUAUGUUACCAUAAGACUCGAGACCAAUUUUAGAGAAGGUACUCUGACGGCUCCAAGGAAGAAGGGUGCCACGCCAUCUUCUUAAAAUCUACGUUGAAUUCUGCUUCUUCCCUGUUUUUGUAUCAGGAUUUUGCCUCUUUCCUGCUUAGUUCAGUUUUCAUGUCUGAUAGAUGUAAAAUAUAUAUAUAUAUAUAUUACGCAAGCUAUGACCGUAUCAGGUCCAAAUUUGCUCAA
Long non-coding RNA from Ricinus communis (castor bean), 568 nucleotides. RefSeq lists it as uncharacterized. The record is from RefSeq and is a predicted model, not a curated record. The transcript is spliced from 4 exons. NCBI's taxonomy places the organism in Eukaryota, Viridiplantae, Streptophyta, Magnoliopsida, Malpighiales, Euphorbiaceae.